GUAAGCACGCAAAAAUUGCUUCGUCUUUUGGUCAAGUUUCUAAUAGAUGAAUUGAUCAACAACAUCAAUAUGUUGAAAGCUUUUUGACUCUUUUGUUUCUUGUGGUGAUAUUGCUUGUAAUUAUUGCUCUUACUGAUCGAGUUAACAUGAAGCUAGAGAGGAAACGAAAAGCAACCGGAUUUGAUUAUUAGGUGAUCGUAGGGUUUUAUGGCAGCUCUUAGGAAUUUAGUCAAAAUAAAUGUAGGAUAAAGAUUGUGUGAUGGUAGAACUUAAUUAUUGAGUAUGAGUUUAUUGAUAAAUUUUAGUUUUAUUCUUAAUUUCAUCUUGUAAAUGGUAAUUAUGCAUUAAGAUAAAAUAGACAAUUCACAUUUAGAAUUUAAGUUGGGUGUAGAAAGAUGUUAGAUGAGUUCA
This 411-nucleotide long non-coding RNA is filed under the name Malus domestica (apple). RNAcentral's name for it is "long non-coding RNA (MDOM_LNC009956)". Lineage: Eukaryota; Viridiplantae; Streptophyta; Magnoliopsida; Rosales; Rosaceae. The record is from RNAcentral.